RNAcentral lists this microRNA precursor (58 nucleotides) under Pteropus alecto (black flying fox). Lineage: Eukaryota; Metazoa; Chordata; Mammalia; Chiroptera; Pteropodidae. The record is from RNAcentral.
CUAUUCAGAAGGGGACAGUUUGCUUAGACUGUGUGUAACCUGUGCCCUUCUGAGUAGC